GAGGGUCCCCAGAAGAGAUGCCGUUCAUCUGUGGUGUGGCAGCAUUUCCAUUUGGAAACCCCAGAUAAAGUGAGAUGUAUGUAUUAUGAUCGGCAGCUAGCCUACUGCAACAAUACAUCAUCCACGAUGAGCCAUUUGAGGAGCAUUAUCCAGCCAUUGUGCAGGGUGCAGACGAUGGUAGCAUUGCCCCUGUACUGAAGCCUGCUACUGAUACUGCUGGGCCAUCUAAGCAAGAGCCACAAAUGUCAACAUCAGGCCCAUCAUCAUCAUCACCACCAUCAACACGAUUAGAAACACAGGACAGUUUAUGGGAACUUUUUGAUAAUCGUAUCCAUGAAACCCAGAUGAUGCACAAUGCUACAGCUGAUGCCACACUGGAAGUGAAACCAUACCUCCAUGAUGCGUUUUUGCCCAGAACUCCUGAUCCCCUAAUUCACUGGAAAGAAGAGAGCAGUAAUCUUACCUCAUUUGAUAAUUACAAGGAAUCCGACUUGGGUUGAGUCAACUUGCAUUUCGACAGAGAGAAGUGGGGCAGAAGAUAUUUUCUUUUGAUGUAGUCACAAGAGCCAUGUUUCUUUUUUAUUGACAAAAAAGAAUGGCAAGACCUGAGGAAGCAUCAAAAAGGAAAAUGCUUUCAAGGAUUACAG
Long non-coding RNA from Carassius auratus (goldfish), 647 nucleotides. RefSeq lists it as uncharacterized. The transcript is spliced from 3 exons. The record is from RefSeq and is a predicted model, not a curated record. Lineage: Eukaryota; Metazoa; Chordata; Actinopteri; Cypriniformes; Cyprinidae.